This 24-nucleotide non-coding RNA is filed under the name Arabidopsis thaliana (thale cress). The record is from RNAcentral. Lineage: Eukaryota; Viridiplantae; Streptophyta; Magnoliopsida; Brassicales; Brassicaceae.
GUGCAUUGUUCAUACUCCACUGCC